AAGAAAGAAGUUCCUUUGUAGCAAGAUUUCUAACCUUCGCUGCGGGCAGCUGGCAACUGUCCCUUUCUUA
This 70-nucleotide transfer RNA is filed under the name Hiatella arctica. RNAcentral describes it as "tRNA-Ser". Lineage: Eukaryota; Metazoa; Mollusca; Bivalvia; Adapedonta; Hiatellidae. The record is from RNAcentral.